Molecule: long non-coding RNA, 595 nt
Filed under: Salmo salar (Atlantic salmon)
Lineage: Eukaryota; Metazoa; Chordata; Actinopteri; Salmoniformes; Salmonidae
Description: lncRNA (ENSSSAG00000095679.1)
Source: RNAcentral
GGGGUCCAGGUUUAAAACAAUUACAGGUGCACCUUACUAUCUUAUACUAUAUCAUAAAUGGUCUUAACUAGUAAACACAGAUUCUAGUUUUCAUCCAGUUCACACAGAUAGCUGACUCAGCCUCAGAGCCUCCAGACUGGGCCCUGUUUACACCUCCACACAGGAAUACACACUCAGAGCCUCCUGACUGGGCCCUGUUUACACCUCCAAGGUGCCCCCCCUCACACAGGAAUACACACUCAGAGCCUACGAGGAUUUUCUAAAAUCUCCACUUUGCGUGUUUCGCUCACCUCAUUCUUUUUUUAAACUAGGUUUGAGUUGUGGCAUCCACUCAGAUCAAAGGUGGGUUCAUCUGCUCCGUUCCCGAAGUCUCCCUGAGAUCCCAAGUUAGAGGGAUUCCUGGUGCACCAUUUACCCAGGUCGUCAGGAGUCAGGUCAUUUACCCAGGUUGUCAGGUCAUUUACCCAGGUCGUCAGGAGUCAGGUCAUUUACCCAGGUUGUCAGGUCAUUUACCCAGGUCGUCAGGAGCCAGGUCAUUUACCCAGGUCAUCAGGAGCCAGGUCAUUUACCCAGGUCAUCAGGAGCCAGGUCAUUU